RNAcentral lists this long non-coding RNA (762 nucleotides) under Phaseolus vulgaris (common bean). RNAcentral describes it as "long non-coding RNA (PVUL_LNC003691)". Lineage: Eukaryota; Viridiplantae; Streptophyta; Magnoliopsida; Fabales; Fabaceae. The record is from RNAcentral.
GUUAAGGCAAAACUAUUAUGAAAUGCAUUGUUACUUAGUAGAAAUGCAGAACUUCUCAGCUUAUAGUUGUAAGAAGUGAAAUAGUUAGCACCAAUAAUCAUAGGCCUCAGCAACAAGCUGCAAUGUGAAAUAUAAGAAACUAACACUACAAUAGCCACUAAAAUUCCCUCUUCCAGAUCUAUGCAUGAAGUUGAUAGUAGCAAGCAAGAUCUCUAGGCACCACAUCCAGCACCACAUGCUGCACCACAUGCAGCUCCAUAAGGCUCUUGAUCUGCUGUAGAACUUUUCUCCUUGGAUACACCAUCUGCACAAGAAAACAUGAUGGCUGGAAUAAUGCAAAAGGUAACCAAAACCACCAACAAGAUUGCAUAGACAUUACCAUAGAAACCAAUAUUUGCAUCCACAAUUUUCACCUCUCUCAAUUCUCUCACCAUUUGUCCUCUCCCACUUUGCUUAGUGUUCACCUGAGGACAGGUCUUGCUGUUUCAGAAGUGAACAUACACAGCACAUGUAUAUGCUUGUUAUAUAUAUAAGCAAUAGAAACCAAUGUGCUAAAUAAAAAAUAAAAAUACCUUUGUAUGCUGUUGAAGACCUUUUCAUUUUUUCAUUACCCUUGAAAAGUGUAAGUUAUUACUAACUUUACACUGUGGUGGACCACUCAGUUCUUGUCAUGAAAUUUAGUUGUGGUUGCUAACAUGACCUGUAGUUAUCUUUGGUUCCUUUAGACAAAUCCUACUAUUGAUUCCAGUGAUCACUUUCAAC